GGAAGAUUGCACAGCAGCUGGGCAGAGGCGCUCCUCACUUCCCAGUAACCCUCUGCAGUCAGUAAUACUAUCCCUGCUUCACAGACCUGAAGAGAAAAGAGUUGACUAAUGUGGUCAAGCUGCUCAGCAAGCUUAAGUCUGGUUUGAGCCGAAGCCCUCACUUCCCACCUUACCAUGUCCGUGAGCACUCUCUGAUCUGACUCAGAAAUGAAGAGUUAAAUUUAGGCAACGUCUACCUAGAAUAUCUGCUUCUUGCUGCCACAUGUUCCUUCCAUUCCAUUCCAUGAAGUCUACUUAACGAGCCCCUUCAGUAGAGAAGUUCUCAACGAAUCCCUUCUGGAUCCAGGCAUUCUGAUUACUGUAUUAUGACUGUGCACUCUACCCAGUCAAUCUCCACAGGGCAGACUGUCAUCUGAGCCCGGCCUGUCCUGCUGUCUGCUCUCUCCAGAGAGCAUCCUUCAUCCUGAUAAACAGGCUGCGAGCUGGACACGUGACUGAGCUCCUUAAGGUAAAUAGACUACAGAGAGUUGUUCCUUCCAUGCUGGCUCAACAGAAUUUGAUAAGCAGAAU
Molecule: long non-coding RNA, 570 nt
Filed under: Pan troglodytes (chimpanzee)
Lineage: Eukaryota; Metazoa; Chordata; Mammalia; Primates; Hominidae
Description: long non-coding RNA NONPTRT005663
Source: RNAcentral